RNAcentral lists this small nucleolar RNA (122 nucleotides) under Echinops telfairi (small Madagascar hedgehog). RNAcentral's name for it is "Small nucleolar RNA SNORA61 (ENSETEG00000025863.1)". The record is from RNAcentral. Lineage: Eukaryota; Metazoa; Chordata; Mammalia; Afrosoricida; Tenrecidae.
CUCCUCCAGAUCCCUUAUAUUUUUGGUCUAAAUAUUGGUCUGAGUGGCUAAACAAAGGAGGGAAAGUAAAAUUCGGGUGGAUCUGGAGUGUUAAGUGUCAUACAAAUUAAUUUCACACAUGA